Molecule: ribosomal RNA, 169 nt
Filed under: uncultured Clostridium sp.
Lineage: Bacteria; Bacillati; Bacillota; Clostridia; Eubacteriales; Clostridiaceae
Description: partial 16S ribosomal RNA
Rfam family: Bacterial small subunit ribosomal RNA
Source: RNAcentral
CCUACGGGAGGCAGCAGUGGGGAAUAUUGCACAAUGGGGGAAACCCUGAUGCAGCAACGCCGCGUGAGUGAUGAAGGCCUUCGGGUUGUAAAGCUCUGUCUUCUGGGACGAUAAUGACGGUACCAGAGGAGGAAGCCACGGCUAACUACGUGCCAGCAGCCGCGGUAAU